UACGUAGGGGGCGAGCGUUGUCCGGAUUUAUUGGGCGUAAAGAGCGUGUAGGCGGCUAGGUAGGUCCGCUGUGAAAACUCGGGGCUCAACCCCGAGAGGUCGGUGGAAACCAUCUGGCUAGAGUCCGGAAGAGGAGAGUGGAAUUCCUGGUGUAGCGGUGAAAUGCGCAGAUAUCAGGAGGAACACCGGUGGCGAAGGCGACUUACUGGACACAUAUUGACGCUGAGGUGCGAAAGCGUGGGGAGCAAACAGG
This 253-nucleotide ribosomal RNA is filed under the name uncultured bacterium. RNAcentral describes it as "partial 16S ribosomal RNA". It matches the Rfam family "Bacterial small subunit ribosomal RNA", at positions 524 to 776 of the family's 1533-position model. The record is from RNAcentral.